UACGUAGGCAGCGAGCGUUGUUCGGAGUUACUGGGCGUAAAGCGCACGUAGGCGGAUCGUUAAGUCGGGGGUGAAAUCCUGGAGCUCAACUCCAGAACUGCCUUCGAUACUGGCGAUCUUGAGUCCGGAAGAGGUGAGUGGAACUCCUAGUGUAGAGGUGGAAUUCGUAGAUAUUAGGAAGAACACCAGUGGCGAAGGCGGCUCACUGGUCCGGUACUGACGCUGAGGUGCGAAAGCGUGGGGAGCAAGCAGG
Molecule: ribosomal RNA, 253 nt
Filed under: uncultured bacterium
Lineage: Bacteria
Description: partial 16S ribosomal RNA
Rfam family: Bacterial small subunit ribosomal RNA
Source: RNAcentral